AACGUCGCCGCCAACCCCACCCCUAGGGGCGGGAAGUUGGGGGCGGACUCUGGCCUCCCGUGCGCCUCGGCGCGCGGAUGGCCUAAAUUUCAGCUCCUGGCGAGGAUCGCCACGACAAGCGGUGGUUUUUUGAACUAAGGACCUCGGGUGUUGUCGUGCGGCCUCCCGGAGGGAACGGACCCUGUGCGCUCGCGCACCAUCCUA
RNAcentral lists this unclassified non-coding RNA (204 nucleotides) under Viola labradorica. Its description in RNAcentral is "partial internal transcribed spacer 2". The record is from RNAcentral. Lineage: Eukaryota; Viridiplantae; Streptophyta; Magnoliopsida; Malpighiales; Violaceae.